This 101-nucleotide small nuclear RNA is filed under the name Jaculus jaculus (lesser Egyptian jerboa). The record is from RNAcentral. Lineage: Eukaryota; Metazoa; Chordata; Mammalia; Rodentia; Dipodidae.
UGCUUUGGCAGUAAUACCCUAAAAUUGGAACGAUGCAGGGAAGAUUAGUGUGGCCUCUGUGCAAGGAUGAUAUGCAAAUUUGUGAAGUAUUUCAUAUAUAU